CACAGGGGUGCUGAGAAAUCGGCUGAGAUCAUACCCUAAACCUGAGACGGAUAAUGCCGGCGUAGGGAGCUGUAAU
This 76-nucleotide non-coding RNA is filed under the name uncultured Ruminococcus sp. The record is from RNAcentral. Lineage: Bacteria; Bacillati; Bacillota; Clostridia; Eubacteriales; Oscillospiraceae.